GAUGAAGGUAGAACGUCUCUGUGAGCUGAUGUGAAUCCAGCAGCAUCUGUCCAGGUGUUUCUCUGCUAUGGAUCAGUGUGAGGACAGAGAGGAGGGAGUCCCUCCCUCUAAAAGCUCUCUGUGUGGGGAACAUGACAGCCAGACCAAAGCUCAGAGGACAGAGAAGCAG
Long non-coding RNA from Scomber japonicus (chub mackerel), 169 nucleotides. RefSeq lists it as uncharacterized. The transcript has 3 exons. The record is from RefSeq and is a predicted model, not a curated record. NCBI's taxonomy places the organism in Eukaryota, Metazoa, Chordata, Actinopteri, Scombriformes, Scombridae.